UUUUUGGCAUUUAGAUAUUUAGUUUGUGAGAUAAGAAGAAAAUUGCACAUAGGUGUAUAAAAACUAGGGUUUGAAGCUACUGUUAGGAUUUUGGUGAUAUCUUAAGAUUUGUGAAGAAUUUGUAAUUGAAAUUUGUUGUGGGAGUUGAUAAGAAUACAUCAAUACUUCAUUUAAAAUUUGAAUAAGUUUGGAUAGUCGAAUUAGGAGAUAUGAGGUAUUGAAGUUUGAAAAAAUUUCUACAUAAGAGUAAACAAGGUUUUAGAAGAUUUUAUCAUAUUUUGGGUGUUGGUUACUUGAGCCUUAUGUAUUUGGUGUAAUUGCUUUAAUAAGGAAAAUUUUAUAUAUAAACUUAGGGCUUUUCUUAUUUUA
This 369-nucleotide long non-coding RNA is filed under the name Physcomitrium patens. RNAcentral describes it as "long non-coding RNA (PPAT_LNC011372)". The record is from RNAcentral. Lineage: Eukaryota; Viridiplantae; Streptophyta; Bryopsida; Funariales; Funariaceae.